AUUGAACGCUGGCGGCAGGCCUAACACAUGCAAGUCGAACGGUAGCACAGAGAGCUCGCUCUCGGGUGACGAGUGGCGGACGGGUGAGUAAUGUCUGGGAAACUGCCCGAUGGAGGGGGAUAACUACUGGAAACGGUAGCUAAUACCGCAUAACGUCGCAAGACCAAAGUGGGGGACCUUCGGGCCUCACACCAUCGGAUGUGCCCAGAUGGGAUUAGCUAGUAGGUGGGGUAAUGGCUCACCUAGGCGACGAUCCCUAGCUGGUCUGAGAGGAUGACCAGCCACACUGGAACUGAGACACGGUCCAGACUCCUACGGGAGGCAGCAGUGGGGAAUAUUGCACAAUGGGCGCAAGCCUGAUGCAGCCAUGCCGCGUGUAUGAAGAAGGCCUUCGGGUUGUAAAGUACUUUCAGCGGGGAGGAAGGCGGUGAAGUUAAUAACUUCACCGAUUGACGUUACCCGCAGAAGAAGCACCGGCCAACUCCGUGCCAGCAGCCGCCGCGG
RNAcentral lists this ribosomal RNA (504 nucleotides) under uncultured bacterium. RNAcentral describes it as "partial 16S ribosomal RNA". It matches the Rfam family "Bacterial small subunit ribosomal RNA", at positions 29 to 523 of the family's 1533-position model. The record is from RNAcentral.